Dermochelys coriacea (leatherback sea turtle) is the source of this 879-nucleotide long non-coding RNA. RefSeq lists it as uncharacterized. The record is from RefSeq and is a predicted model, not a curated record. NCBI's taxonomy places the organism in Eukaryota, Metazoa, Chordata, Testudines, Dermochelyidae. The transcript has 3 exons.
UAUUUAGUCAUUAAAAUAACUUCUUCAUCUCUUUCACGCAAAGGCUCUGUUUGAAGUUGCUGGUGUGACAAUGUCUGAUAAAGGAUGCAUUAUUCAUCUAAUUGUAAAUGGAGCAUACAGUAACAGAUGUCUGCAGCAGGUGCUUCCACUUGAAGCUGAGGAAUGAGUGAGGAAUUCCACAUGACAGGGUGUAGGGCUGGAGUAAGAUAUGAUGUCUGAAGAGCAUGGGAAGAGAGCAAGUCAAAGCUGUCUAGCACCCCAAAAGUGUAUGACUUCUGCGAGGAUUUCCCUGGAAGUAGAUUAUUACUCAUUUAAAAGGUAUUAUAUAUACAGUCAAAAUGUAUCUACCGAGUACAUAAAACAGAAGGCCAUUUUUAUCCUUGGUAAAGUUCUUGGAGCUAUUUUGCCUAGAAUAUUUUAUAAUCAGAUCAUAAUUAUCAGUAAAUGAAUUGAUAUUUUUAAAAAUUGAAAACAAAUUAUAAAAUGAAGAUUUAUUCUAAUUUAAUUUUAAAGGAAUCUAAAUGCACAGGAACAAAUUCAAUCUGCGCCUAGCUCUACUGAGGUAAAUUGAAUUACACCAGAGAUGAAUUUAGCUUCUUGCAUUUAUGUUCCUAUAGAAGACUAAUUCCCAUCGUCGCUGUCUAGAAAACUGUUCUUCUUAAACAAGUUGGGCUGCCUUGUCUCAGCACAGAGUAGAAUGAAUUGGAUUUUUAUCCAAAUGCCUUCAUUUUGGUAAAUUGAUGUGCUGACAGUAAACCUUUGAAGACUGAAGGAGGGAAGCCAGUUUAUUCUAAAACAUCAGAAGAUCUCCUUCUCCCCACUGACCAAAGAUGACUCCGGAGGCUCUGUCUGACAAAGCUGUGUGUUGAUUAACAAAAA